CCUACGGGAGGCAGCAGUGGGGAAUAUUGGACAAUGGGCGCAAGCCUGAUCCAGCCAUGCCGCGUGUGUGAAGAAGGCCUUUUGGUUGUAAAGCACUUUAAGCGAGGAGGAGGCUACUUGGAUUAAUACUCUAGGAUAGUGGACGUUACUCGCAGAAUAAGCACCGGCUAACUCUGUGCCAGCAGCCGCGGU
Molecule: ribosomal RNA, 192 nt
Filed under: uncultured bacterium
Lineage: Bacteria
Also listed under: 1 other name
Description: partial 16S ribosomal RNA
Rfam family: Bacterial small subunit ribosomal RNA
Source: RNAcentral